AAAAUAAAAAAAAAAAAGAAAAACAUUUAAUUGGUGAGGCAAUUGAAACCUUCCACUUAAAAAUUUUGCAGAUAUGUUUCCUUUCACAUGGCUUCGUCGAUCUAAAACAUUGGUACUACAUUAUAAAAAGAUUUUCAACAAGUAAACCAAUUACUUCAGAAAAAGGACAACUAGGAACAGCUUUUCCUAGAGAAAGACAUUAAGAACUCAAAGACUAAGGUGAAAGCAAAAAAUUAUAUAAAGGAAUUUACAGGGAGAAGAAACCAAGGCCAUACAGGAAAAAUAUGAUACAAGCAAAGAUUAAAGAAGAAAAGCAUCAUGUAUUAUCUAAUAAGCAACUUUUUGUCCACAAUAUAACUAUUUGAACCUUUGAUAACCCAAAUUGAAUUCAGCUCAAAUUAUAUUGGGUAAAACAGGGGAACCAGCUGUUAUAUAACUGAAGGCUCAAUGGGCUUCUUGAUGAACAAAAAGAAUGGAAAUGGUAACAUCUUCCCUUUCAUAAUCCUCUCACAAGACUAACUAUAUGCAAUGCAGGUAAAAUUAAUUAAGCAGCAAUAAUUUGAAGAUAUAACUUUGAAACAAUUCUGGAUGUAGCACAAAUGGAUUUUCUUGCAAGAAGAAAUUGUUUCCUACUGGCUGUGCAACAAAUGGGGAACAUUAUACUAAAAGCACCUACAACUGGGGUCUUGGUAAGGUGUCAAAUAUUUAAAUGUGUCUAGAUAAAACACAGAGUUUGCUGAAAAUAGAGAGAAAGUGAUGCAUGCAUCUCCUACUAAAAAAUAAAAGUCAAAUAUUUCUCAUUGGUCAUAGUGAUAACAAUAGAAUACAACACAAAUAAUUGAUAAACAUGAUAGAAUGGAAAGCAGACAUUUUGUUCAGGAUAUGUUUUCUUAGUCUCCUACACUCACAUGGAGUGCAGACAGUUAGGCUCACAGAUUCCAUUAAAUUGCCUUUAUCAGAGACAAAUCAUCAAGGGAUAAAUGCAUAGACAGAUGAUAAAUUAUCUGGAUCAUUGACUUCAAGAAUACUUGAAGUCAGGAAUUCAUGAUUCUAGUAUCUAAGUUGCUCCAAGAAAGAAUUUAAACCAAAAAUGAAAACAGAAUACCUGCAAAAUUGGUGACAAUGAUCUCGUACUCUUCUCCAAUCUUGACUUCAGUCAAACCCACUGGCUUAGGCUCUGUGUAGAUAUUCUCAACAUUGUCCCCAAGAGGAAUGAAUUCAAAAUAUCCAAUGUUAGGCAGCACAGCAAAAGUAGCCGACUCAGGAGACAGCUUUGGAUUGACGUUUGCUCCAAUCCACCCUUCUGUAGCACCAUAAUCAGCACUCAACAAAGGUAUAUCACCUGCGUAGUGCCUCAGCUUCUUCAAAUAAGGCUCCAUUGACCCAGUCAUUAUCCCAUAGACAUACUUCACAUUAGGAAAAAGUUCAGGUAUUAAUCCAUACCAAUUACUCAAUCCUGAGCAUUUUUUAUGGAUUAGCUCAGCCAAUUCAAAGUUUGGCUUAAGCACUUGUGACAUUGCAUUUCUUAUGGAAGGGUCAGUGACCCGGCUACUGAGCAUCCCAUCACGUAUAUUAUCACAAAGCUCUUCCCAGACUUGUUCAAAGGUUCGAAAUGCAAGGACGAUGCUAUGGGCAAAUGUAGAGAACACAAACUGAAUUUCUUCACGGACGAUUAACCCACAUAAGAGAUGGCAAUACAAUGAUUGGUGGAAGUCAGAACCAAAUAUCACUUCAUCAGGGCUGCAGCAAUUGAACUUCAUUGUCCGUACUGCAUUUUUGUAGCAUGAACUGCGAAAGAGAUUUGUUGUGGCAGUCCCAGCAGCCAAACCCCCCUUUGUUCUGGACUGCUUGCCGCUAAAGUUGAACAGCAGGGCUUUCCCAUCCACAGUAGGGAACUCUCUGUUUCUAAAUGCAAAGGAAGUUCUAUAUAUCUGCAAGGUGUUCUCCAUCAGAUCAUCAUUGAAUGGUAGAUAUUUCGGCUUUCCCUGAGUAGUACCCGAACUCAGUGAUAUGGUCGUUAUGGGCUUUCUGGUGAGAACAGAGGAAGAAUCUCCAUCUGCAAUUCUUUGAAUAUAAGGUUCCAACUCCUUGUGAGUAACAAUGGGAACAUAAUCUCUGAAACUCUCUGGAUCAGUUCGUCCAUUGAGACCCAGAUUCUGCAAGUACUCUGCACAGCCAUUCUCUUCCAGAAUCUUCUUGAGGGUCUCUAUCUGGACUCUCUCAGCAUCUUUCGUAAUUGCUUCAAAUUCUUCUAUCACUUUAUCAAUGUUAAUUUUUUCCAUCUUCUUUUCUAACAUCUUCAUUAAACUUCUUAAACUGCAAUCGGACUCUGAGCACAGCAGCAACUUUCAGAAAAAGGCAGAGAAAGAGUAUUCUGCAAGUACAAUGGUGAAGUGAAAGCGAGCGUUUCUAAGUAACGAAUUUAAAGAAGGGAGAAGAACAGUAGGUUGAACAAAAGAUGUUUACUAGUUCACUGAUUUAUGCAACUUGCCCUACCAUGUGCAAGGAGAAGCCAAAUGUUAGAGAGAGUUUUUAUAUAGAAAAAUUGUGUGGUUUACGGUAAGCCGGAG
Molecule: unclassified non-coding RNA, 2570 nt
Filed under: Hevea brasiliensis (rubber tree)
Lineage: Eukaryota; Viridiplantae; Streptophyta; Magnoliopsida; Malpighiales; Euphorbiaceae
Source: RNAcentral